RNAcentral lists this ribosomal RNA (465 nucleotides) under uncultured bacterium. Its description in RNAcentral is "partial 16S ribosomal RNA". It matches the Rfam family "Bacterial small subunit ribosomal RNA", at positions 28 to 507 of the family's 1533-position model. The record is from RNAcentral.
GACGAACGCUGGCGGCGUGCUUAACACAUGCAAGUCGAACGGAAAGGCCCCUUUGGGGGUACUCGAAUGGCGAACGGGUGAGUAACACGUGAGUAACCUGCCCUUGACUUCGGGAUAACUUCAGGAAACUGGGGCUAAUACCGGAUAGGAAUCCUUGCUGCAUGGUGGGGGUUGGAAAGCUUCGGCGGUUUUGGAUGGACUCGCGGCUUAUCAGCUUGUUGGUGGGGUAGUGGCUUACCAAGGCUUUGACGGGUAGCUGGCCUGAGAGGGCGACCGGCCACAUUGGGACUGAGAUACGGCCCAGACUCCUACGGGAGGCAGCAGUGGGGAAUAUUGCACAAUGGGCGGAAGCCUGAUGCAGCAACGCCGCGUGCGGGAUGACGGCCUUCGGGUUGUAAACCGCUUUCAGCAGGGGCGAAGCUUGUGGUGACGGUACCUGCAGAAGAAGCACCGGCUAACUACGUG